AUACUUACCUGGACGGGGUCAAUGGGCGAGCAAGAAGGCUUGUGGCCUAGGUUGGUGACCUCCAUUGCACUUUGGAGGUGUGCCUGCCUAAGGUCGGCCCAAGUGGCCUGCUUACGUCAUAAUUUGUGGCAGCGGGGGCCUUCGUUCGCGUGGCCCCUA
Molecule: small nuclear RNA, 159 nt
Filed under: Capsicum annuum
Lineage: Eukaryota; Viridiplantae; Streptophyta; Magnoliopsida; Solanales; Solanaceae
Description: U1 spliceosomal RNA
Rfam family: U1 spliceosomal RNA
About the family: U1 is a small nuclear RNA (snRNA) component of the spliceosome (involved in pre-mRNA splicing). Its 5' end forms complementary base pairs with the 5' splice junction, thus defining the 5' donor site of an intron. There are significant differences in sequence and secondary structure between metazoan and yeast U1 snRNAs, the latter being much longer (568 nucleotides as compared to 164 nucleotides in human).
Source: Rfam by way of RNAcentral